Haliotis rubra (blacklip abalone) is the source of this 380-nucleotide long non-coding RNA. RefSeq lists it as uncharacterized. The record is from RefSeq and is a predicted model, not a curated record. Lineage: Eukaryota; Metazoa; Mollusca; Gastropoda; Lepetellida; Haliotidae. The transcript has 2 exons.
UAAUGUUCAGCAUUGUUAAACCAGGCAUGAAUGAGUGUAUUGUCCGGUGGCCUAGUGGUUAACACAUUAGACUUGUGAUCCAAAGAGCUAGGGUUCAAAUCCAGCGUAAUGGCAAAACUUUUGUAAAUUUAAUUAGUAAAUAUAUAGCCUCAUUUUCAUUAUUGAUGGUCACAUGACCUAACCCUUGCACAAAAUCUUCAUGCAAAGGCUGAUUCACUGUGCUAUCCACAUGGUCACUUGGCUGUCUGCAAAUCUCUCCGUAUGGCAACACAAAUUUUCUUAAACCUCAUCGAUGGACCGAGUCAUGUCAACGAUAAUAAGCCAAUGACUUGUCACCGACUACCGAAAAUAGUAACAUUAAUAAAUCCCUGUCGAUGCGA